This 73-nucleotide transfer RNA is filed under the name Chloroflexota bacterium. RNAcentral describes it as "Chloroflexi bacterium (groundwater metagenome) tRNA-Gln". It matches the Rfam family "tRNA". From Rfam's summary of the family: Transfer RNA (tRNA) molecules are approximately 80 nucleotides in length. Their secondary structure includes four short double-helical elements and three loops (D, anti-codon, and T loops). The record is from RNAcentral. Lineage: Bacteria; Bacillati; Chloroflexota.
UCCGAGAUCGUCUAAUUGGCAGGACGCAACACUUUGAAUGUUGAUAUUCUAGGUUCGAAUCCUAGUCUCGGAA